AUGUCUGGCCAUAGGACGGCACUCCUGGCCGGCAGGCUCCAACCCCCUCCUCGGGCGCCGUCCCCCCAUCUCCUGUCUACCAAUUUCUCUUCUAUCUUGCAUCAUUGCGUCCAUCACCUCCUCCUUUCUAGGGCUGGAGUCGUCGUAAGGCAGCUUGACUGGUGUGUACGAUUGCUGGCGUUGCAUGGGAUGCGACGGCCAGAGUGUGUGCAGACUGCGGAAGCACGGCGACGUGGACGAGGAUGUGCGAUGUCGGCACAACAGGUCUGUACGGCUGUCGGCACCGACGCCGGUCUCGACGGCAUCCAACAUGUGCGGCGCCGGACAUGUGAAGGAGGUCUGGUGUCUGCUGGUGGACUACGUCUAUCCCAUCAGAGGCACGACUAUGGCGCGCUUCUCUCCAUGCUCGCCAACUUCGUAGCUUUAACGCCAGAUUAA
This 438-nucleotide ribosomal RNA is filed under the name Triticum aestivum (bread wheat). RNAcentral's name for it is "partial small subunit ribosomal RNA". The record is from RNAcentral. Lineage: Eukaryota; Viridiplantae; Streptophyta; Magnoliopsida; Poales; Poaceae.